AUGGACUGGAUCGCCGGCAAUCAUCGGCUGGGCAGGCCUGGAUGUCGACGAGACGGGACGGAAAGUCGGUGGCUGGGCAGCGAUCUCUGGUGGCUGGGCAGCGUUCUCCGACAGCUGGGCAGCGCUCUCUGGCAGCUGAGCAGCAAACAAGGACACCGGCUAGAUCACCAGUGGAACAGGAACAACACAAAAGACAGGGUGUCGACUCGACAGGCCUGGUUUCUAUCACUGUGGUGGACGUUUGGCGGCGGCACCAGACUGGAUGUUGGCAGUGUAACUCGUCCUACAGUUACGGUCCUGCCAGCGUCCAGUGAAGAGAUUUCCAGUAAGCAGACAGCAACACUGAUGUGUGUGGUCAGCAAGGGCUUCCCUUCAGACUGGAGCUUGAGCUGGAAGGUGGAUGGGAACAGCAGGUCUCAGGAGAACAGCGCUGGACUCCUGCAGAAGGACGGUCUGUACAGCUGGAGCAGCAGUCUGACUAUCUCUGAACACGACUGGAUCAAGAGCGUCUCAGUGAGCUGUGAGGCCACACGAGGAGACCAGACAGUCACUGGACAAGUGAAGAUAGAUCAGUGUUCUCAAUAGAUCCUCUGUCUUCUGCUCUCUUCUUCUCAUUCAUGUCUCACAACAGUGGCUUUCUAUUCAUAUGUGCUUCAUUCAUUCAGUGAUGAGUUUAUUUUGCUAAUAUUCAAUAAAAGAAAAAUAACAAACUUGAA
This is a non-coding RNA of Triplophysa rosa, 716 nucleotides long. The record is from the annotation of a RefSeq genome assembly. Lineage: Eukaryota; Metazoa; Chordata; Actinopteri; Cypriniformes; Nemacheilidae.